Molecule: ribosomal RNA, 513 nt
Filed under: uncultured bacterium
Lineage: Bacteria
Description: partial 16S ribosomal RNA
Rfam family: Bacterial small subunit ribosomal RNA
Source: RNAcentral
GAUGAACGCUGGCGGCGUGCCUAAUACAUGCAAGUCGAGCGAACAGAUAAGGAGCUUGCUCCUUUGAAGUUAGCGGCGGACGGGUGAGUAACACGUGGGUAACCUACCUAUAAGACUGGGAUAACUUCGGGAAACCGGAGCUAAUACCGGAUAACAUUUGGAACCGCAUGGUUCUAAAGUGAAAGAUGGUUUUGCUAUCACUUAUAGAUGGACCCGCGCCGUAUUAGCUAGUCGGUAAGGUAACGGCUUACCAAGGCGACGAUACGUAGCCGACCUGAGGGGGUAGUCGGCCACACUGGAACUGAGAUGCGGUCCGGACUCCGACGGGAGGCAGCAGUAGGGAAUCGUCCGCAAUGGGCGAAAGCCUGACGGAGCAACGCUGCGUGAGUGAUGAAGAGUUUCGGCUCGUAAAACUCUGUUAUUAGGGAAGAACAAAUGUGUAAGUAACUGUGCACGUCUUGACGGUACCUAAUCAGAAAGCCACGGCUAACUACGUGCCAGCCGCCGCGGUAA